Molecule: long non-coding RNA, 786 nt
Filed under: Helianthus annuus (common sunflower)
Lineage: Eukaryota; Viridiplantae; Streptophyta; Magnoliopsida; Asterales; Asteraceae
Description: hypothetical non coding rna
Source: RNAcentral
AUGAAUCCACCAAAGUUUGAAAACUAGAUUUGGCCAACGUGUUUGACUAUUUGAGAACAUUCACCCUAGAUAACUUUCAAUUUAAAAACGUGUAUAAAUAUUAAACACUACUUCCUAUAUGUAUGCUAUCACAUAAGAAACUGGGGUUACCAGUUUUCACAACCUAGGCAAUUUGUUUCAUUGAAGCUAAAUGAUUGAAAUUGUAACACGCAUUGAUUAAAACUUGGUGUUGCCGCUAUUUGAUCAUGGGUGUAGACUGUAGAGGUAAUCUCUGUAUAGUUGUCAAAACAUAAAUUCGUUCGAAUUGUCCUAAGACUAUGCGGUAUGGGGUAUGUCCCCACACCGUCGAGGACCGUUGCCGGCCAGAACACCAUCCCGCCCCCCUCCGUCCCCGUCCUCACCGGCGAGUACUUGACGUUGGAGAGGUAAUCUCUGUAUAGUUGUCAAAACAUAAAUUCGUUCGAAUUGUCCUAAGACUAUGCGGUAUGGGGUAUGUCCCCACACUGUCGAGGACCGUUGCCGGCCAGAACACCAUCCCACCCCCCUCCGUCCCCGUCCUCACCGGCGAGUACUUGACGUUGGAGAGGUAAUCUCUGUAUAGUUGUCAAAACAUAAAUUCGUUCGAAUUGUCCUAAGACUAUGCGGUAUGGGGUAUGUCCCCACACCGUCGAGGACCGUUGCCGGCCAGAACACCAUCCCGCCCCCCUCCGUCCCCGUCCUCACCGGCGAGUACUUGACGUUGGAGACAGGCGCUAAAUGCCAAAAAUUUGUGAGGAACGAUGAUUA